AUAAAUGCAGCUUUGGAUUUC
Molecule: non-coding RNA, 21 nt
Organism: Caenorhabditis elegans
Lineage: Eukaryota; Metazoa; Nematoda; Chromadorea; Rhabditida; Rhabditidae
Source: Ensembl